RNAcentral lists this long non-coding RNA (203 nucleotides) under Brassica napus (rape). RNAcentral's name for it is "long non-coding RNA (BNAP_LNC005354)". Lineage: Eukaryota; Viridiplantae; Streptophyta; Magnoliopsida; Brassicales; Brassicaceae. The record is from RNAcentral.
AGUGCCGGUCCUGAAAUAUUUAGGGUCCAAUACGAGACAAAAAAAUCAAGGCGCUAAUUAACAUAUAUAAAUUUAGAUUACUGUAACUUAAGUUUGUAAUUAGAUUUUCACUAUAUUGUUAAAGCUAAUGAUAGUCUAUCAAUUCUAAAAAAUGAUUUUCUUGUACUUUUUUUACAAAAUCGAGCAUUGAUUAAAAAUUUGAC